RNAcentral lists this ribosomal RNA (1183 nucleotides) under Triticum aestivum (bread wheat). RNAcentral's name for it is "partial small subunit ribosomal RNA". The record is from RNAcentral. Lineage: Eukaryota; Viridiplantae; Streptophyta; Magnoliopsida; Poales; Poaceae.
CGGCGAUGGUUGCUCCAAGUCCUGGUGUGCAGCGUGCAAAGGUAGGAGGGUUCGGGGAGCGGGGUUAGGUCAUAAGAGGCAGAGGGAGGCCCAGAGGGUUCUUUUUAGCAGCGGCGGGUAGACGGGGUACCGGCGCCUGUUUCGAAGAGGUGAGGGGAUGUUCGACGAUCGAGGUGAGACGGUUGCGGUAGCCGCGACGAAGUUACCCGAACAUGAGACUGAGUCUAGUGCUCAAACUACUCCCGGAGUUGGACCAGGCGGUAAGGACAUAGUAGUGCCCACUGCGACAACACGUGUAGAGAGGAGGAUGGAACUACGGCGACCCUAGGUGUUGGGUGGCCUUUCCUCAUCGUCGCGGGAGUGUCCAACCUGGUGAGGGCUAGGCAGCGGCGGACGUGUCGGUCCUGCCCGGUUGGUAGCUCCCGUAGAAGGAGGUGGUGAACGCUACUCACCGGCUCGGUACCUCGCCUCCGCCGUCCCUCAUAACUAAUAUAACCUUCCGGUUCCACGCGUAGCACGGAACCCGAGAGACGUAGAGGUGCCAGAGGGAAGGGGUAAUCAAACGAUGGGAACUAAUAUAACGAAACCAACCUUAACCUAGGAGUACAUCAAAGUACGACUAAACUCGAUGCGUGAUCCCUAAUAAAGACGUGCUCCUACAUAAACCCUCUCUAAAACUCACCGACGAUGAUGACCUACGUUAACAACCUUAACAGUCUCUACCACGUCUAUAACUUCCUCAGAGUUGUAACUACCAAUGAAGGACGGCUCUAAACACUUUAUGAAUUCUUGAUGUUCUUAAAAGUAUGUCGAGGUCAAAUCCGUUUACCUACCUCAUGAAACGAAAACGUAGUAUACAAAAAUUACCGAACCUCAAGUAGGAGGCGGUGUGAUUGCUGCUGGGUUACGGUACCACCACCUCUGGUGUUGUCUACAGUUCCGCCUCCUCUCCACAAAUGUAAAAAAAGGACCGUCACUCACAAAUGUGUUAGAUCUGUAUAGAUACUACGACCGAGGUCGGUCUAAACCCCUGAUAAUUGGUUUUAUAACUAACGUUGUUUAAUCAGACCUAUUAUUUAAUACAUAAAUCGAAGAGAUAUUCGCCGUGGUCACUCUUACACGUACGCAAUCUGUUAAGUUAAAAUCACUUACGUACGUUUGACUUAAUACAUAAUCAAACUCG